CGGGACACGUGGUAUCCUGUCUGAAUAUGGGGGGACCAUCCUCCAAGGCUAAAUACUCCUGACUGACCGAUAGUGAACCAGUACCGUGAGGGAAAGGCGAAAAGAACCCCGGCGAGGGGAGUGAAAAAGAACCUGAAACCGUGUACGUACAAGCAGUGGGAGCACGCUUAGGCGUGUGACUGCGUACCUUUUGUAUAAUGGGUCAGCGACUUAUAUUCUGUAGCAAGGUUAACCGAAUAGGGGAGCCGAAGGGAAACCGAGUCUUAACUGGGCGUUAAGUUGCAGGGUAUAGACCCGAAACCCGGUGAUCUAGCCAUGGGCAGGUUGAAGGUUGGGUAACACUAACUGGAGGACCGAACCGACUAAUGUUGAAAAAUUAGCGGAUGACUUGUGGCUGGGGGUGAAAGGCCAAUCAAACCGGGAGAUAGCUGGUUCUCCCCGAAAGCUAUUUAGGUAGCGCCUCGUGAAUUCAUCUCCGGGGGUAGAGCACUGUUUCGGCAAGGGGGUCAUCCCGACUUACCAACCCGAUGCAAACUGCGAAUACCGGAGAAUGUUAUCACGGGAGACACACGGCGGGUGCUAACGUCCGUCGUGAAGAGGGAAACAACCCAGACCGCCAGCUAAGGUCCCAAAGUCAUGGUUAAGUGGGAAACGAUGUGGGAAGGCCCAGACAGCCAGGAUGUUGGCUUAGAAGCAGCCAUCAUUUAAAGAAAGCGUAAUAGCUCACUGGUCGAGUCGGCCUGCGCGGAAGAUGUAACGGGGCUAAACCAUGCACCGAAGCUGCGGCAGCGACGCUGAUGCGUUGUUGGGUAGGGGAGCGUUCUGUAAGCCUGUGAAGGUGUGCUGUGAGGCAUGCUGGAGGUAUCAGAAGUGCGAAUGCUGACAUAAGUAACGAUAAAGCGGGUGAAAAGCCCGCUCGCCGGAAGACCAAGGGUUCCUGUCCAACGUUAAUCGGGGCAGGGUGAGUCGACCCCUAAGGCGAGGCCGAAAGGCGUAGUCGAUGGGAAACAGGUUAAUAUUCCUGUACUUGGUGUUACUGCGAAGGGGGGACGGAGAAGGCUAUGUUGGCCGGGCGACGGUUGUCCCGGUUUAAGCGUGUAGGCUGGUUUUCCAGGCAAAUCCGGAAAAUCAAGGCUGAGGCGUGAUGACGAGGCACUACGGUGCUGAAGCAACAAAUGCCCUGCUUCCAGGAAAAGCCUCUAAGCAUCAGGUAACAUCAAAUCGUACCCCAAACCGACACAGGUGGUCAGGUAGAGAAUACCAAGGCGCUUGAGAGAACUCGGGUGAAGGAACUAGGCAAAAUGGUGCCGUAACUUCGGGAGAAGGCACGCUGAUAUGUAGGUGAAGCGACUUGCUCGUGGAGCUGAAAUCAGUCGAAGAUACCAGCUGGCUGCAACUGUUUAUUAAAAACACAGCACUGUGCAAACACGAAAGUGGACGUAUACGGUGUGACGCCUGCCCGGUGCCGGAAGGUUAAUUGAUGGGGUCAGCGCAAGCGAAGCUCUUGAUCGAAGCCCCGGUAAACGGCGGCCGUAACUAUAACGGUCCUAAGGUAGCGAAAUUCCUUGUCGGGUAAGUUCCGACCUGCACGAAUGGCGUAAUGAUGGCCAGGCUGUCUCCACCCGAGACUCAGUGAAAUUGAACUCGCUGUGAAGAUGCAGUGUACCCGCGGCAAGACGGAAAGACCCCGUGAACCUUUACUAUAGCUUGACACUGAACAUUGAGCCUUGAUGUGUAGGAUAGGUGGGAGGCUUUGAAGUGUGGACGCCAGUCUGCAUGGAGCCGGCCUUGAAAUACCACCCUUUAAUGUUUGAUGUUCUAACGUUGACCCGUGAUCCGGGUUGCGGACAGUGUCUGGUGGGUAGUUUGACUGGGGCGGUCUCCUCCUAAAGAGUAACGGAGGAGCACGAAGGUUGGCUAAUCCUGGUCGGACAUCAGGAGGUUAGUGCAAUGGCAUAAGCCAGCUUGACUGCGAGCGUGACGGCGCGAGCAGGUGCGAAAGCAGGUCAUAGUGAUCCGGUGGUUCUGAAUGGAAGGGCCAUCGCUCAACGGAUAAAAGGUACUCCGGGGAUAACAGGCUGAUACCGCCCAAGAGUUCAUAUCGACGGCGGUGUUUGGCACCUCGAUGUCGGCUCAUCACAUCCUGGGGCUGAAGUAGGUCCCAAGGGUAUGGCUGUUCGCCAUUUAAAGUGGUACGCGAGCUGGGUUUAGAACGUCGUGAG
This 2222-nucleotide ribosomal RNA is filed under the name Escherichia coli. RNAcentral describes it as "partial 23S ribosomal RNA". It matches the Rfam family "Bacterial large subunit ribosomal RNA", at positions 418 to 2625 of the family's 2925-position model. The record is from RNAcentral. Lineage: Bacteria; Pseudomonadati; Pseudomonadota; Gammaproteobacteria; Enterobacterales; Enterobacteriaceae.